UAACACAUGCAAGUCGAGCGGAUGACGGGAGCUUGCUCCUUGAUUCAGCGGCGGACGGGUGAGUAAUGCCUAUGAAUCUGCCUGGUAGUGGGGGACAACGUUUCGAAAGGAACGCUAAUACCGCAUACGUCCUACGGGAGAAAGCAGGGGACCUUCGGGCCUUGCGCUAUCAGAUGAGCCUAGGUCGGAUUAGCUAGUUGGUGGGGUAAUGGCUCACCAAGGCGACGAUCCGUAACUGGUCUGAGAGGAUGAUCAGUCACACUGGAACUGAGACACGGUCCAGACUCCUACGGGAGGCAGCAGUGGGGAAUAUUGGACAAUGGGCGAAAGCCUGAUCCAGCCAUGCCGCGUGUGUGAAGAAGGUCUUCGGAUUGUAAAGCACUUUAAGUUGGGAGGAAGGGCAGUAAGCUAAUACCUUGC
RNAcentral lists this ribosomal RNA (420 nucleotides) under uncultured Pseudomonas sp. RNAcentral describes it as "bacterial SSU rRNA". It matches the Rfam family "Bacterial small subunit ribosomal RNA", at positions 49 to 472 of the family's 1533-position model. The record is from RNAcentral. Lineage: Bacteria; Pseudomonadati; Pseudomonadota; Gammaproteobacteria; Pseudomonadales; Pseudomonadaceae.